GUGGGGAAUUUUGGACAAUGGGCGCAAGCCUGAUCCAGCAAUGCCGCGUGCAGGAAGAAGGCCUUCGGGUUGUAAACUGCUUUUGUACGGAACGAAACGGUCCGGGUUAAUACCCUGGGCUAAUGACGGUACCGUAAGAAUAAGCACCGGCUAACUACGUGCCAGCAGCCGCGGUAAUACGUAGGGUGCAAGCGUUAAUCGGAAUUACUGGGCGUAAAGCGUGCGCAGGCGGUUUUGUAAGACAGGCGUGAAAUUCCCGGGCUCAACCUGGGAAUUGCGCUUGUGACUGCAAGGCUGGAGUGCGGCAGAGGGGGAUGGAAUUCCGCGUGUAGCAGUGAAAUGCGUAGAUAUGCGGAGGAACACCGAUGGCGAAGGCAAUCCCCUGGGCCUGCACUGACGCUCAUGCACGAAAGCGUGGGGAGCAAACAGGAUUAGAAACCCGUGUAGUCC
This 450-nucleotide ribosomal RNA is filed under the name uncultured bacterium. RNAcentral's name for it is "partial 16S ribosomal RNA". It matches the Rfam family "Bacterial small subunit ribosomal RNA", at positions 354 to 796 of the family's 1533-position model. The record is from RNAcentral.